UACAGAGGGGGCAAGCGUUGUUCGGAAUUACUGGGCGUAAAGGGCGCGUAGGCGGCCUGUUAAGUCGAACGUGAAAUCCCCGGGCUCAACCCGGGAACUGCGUCCGAUACUGGCAGGCUUGAAUUCGGGAGAGGGAUGUGGAAUUCCAGGUGUAGCGGUGAAAUGCGUAGAUAUCUGGAGGAACACCGGUGGCGAAGGCGGCAUCCUGGACCGAUAUUGACGCUGAUGCGCGAAAGCGUGGGGAGCAAACAGG
RNAcentral lists this ribosomal RNA (253 nucleotides) under uncultured bacterium. Its description in RNAcentral is "partial 16S ribosomal RNA". It matches the Rfam family "Bacterial small subunit ribosomal RNA", at positions 524 to 776 of the family's 1533-position model. The record is from RNAcentral.